Molecule: RNA transcript, 1811 nt
Organism: Capsella rubella
Lineage: Eukaryota; Viridiplantae; Streptophyta; Magnoliopsida; Brassicales; Brassicaceae
Exons: 2
Source: RefSeq, a predicted model, not a curated record
AACAUCAUCUGUUCAUGUAAUAAAAUUUAGCGGAAUAUAGUAUGUUGCAAGGCUAACAAACGAAGAAGUGCAUUGAUAAGAGCUUUUAUUUGAGAAUAUGAGUGGUCACAGAGGGAAUAUAACGUCAAGACCUGCUAGGGAAAUCUUCCUAACAUCAUCAUCUCUGUCUUUUUCUUCCUUGUCUUCCUCUGUGUCAUGGGAUGAUGCCAUUGAGCUCAAAGAGUCCAAAGCAUAUUCUGAGGAUAAGAGCCAUCAGCAGAAUGGGGAGCUUUCAAAUGCUUCUUCUUCUCAAGGCUCUGAAACAUCUGGUGUGACUCAUGUCAGGACGCAGCCUGCUUCUUCAUCUCAAGGCUCUGAAAUGUCGGGGUUGACUCAUGUCAAGGUGCAACCUGUUCCAUCUCCGCCUUCGUGGUCACGACCAGUUCCUUUGAUGAAUGAAGGUAUACGGAACUACGAUCCUGAGAGAAUCCCUCAAUCGGUGUUUGGCAAGACAGGGGAUAUGAGUUGGACCGAAGUUUCGAAUGAGUCUUUGUUUAGUCUGAAAUUUGAUGGGUAUAGACAGUCAAACGCUCAAGUAUCUCCUCAAAGCAAUAUAAAAUCUGAAGAUGUUCUGAUGACGGGUGAGUUCUUGGGAUACUCCCCUGCUCUGCUAUCCACCACGCCUGAGGGUGCAAUAGAGAAAAGAUCUGAAGUGAAAGGAGAAACAAGAGUGGAUAGUCGUCAUGAACAAAAGAAGUAGAAGUACUCCAUGUCAACUCAAGAUGUCCCAUUGAGCAGUAUCCCGAGCAACUUCUAUUGUUUAUAUCACGCACCCCCGAGAAAAAUUCAACCUUUUCCCCUUCCUGUUGGUGAGAAAAAGAGUAAGAAGAUAAAGAAGACAAGAAAGAGCAAGAUGAAUAAGAAGGAGAAAAAGAAGAAGAAGAAGAAAACAGAGGAGAAGAAGAAUAAGUGUUGCAUGUGGUCUUGGUUGUGCUCAGUAUUUUCAAAGUGCGAGUGUGACUUUUCCUGCUACAAAUGGAGAACGUGUUGUUGCUGCGGCUGCUGCUACAGACGACCAAAAACGACGGUUUUGUAACUUUUUCCCACCUCUCGGCAUGCUUCAUCGUGAUAAAUGUGUUGACACCCAAAGCAUCAUCUCUAUACAUCCUUAAUACUCAGUGUAUUCAUACAAAUAUGGUUAACAACUCUAGUUUCUAUGCUAGAUCUUGAUUUGUUCCAGACUCUAUUAUUCAUUAUCGACAUUACAAUAUUACGAAUACAAGCUGUAUUGGAAAUUAUGAUGAGUGGGGUCUUAGUAUAAGACAAUGGACAAGGCAUGGAAGAUGCACAAUUAUUUUGACUUUUAGUUAUGUAUAAGCUCAUCAUACCAAACACACUAUCCAUAUAAUUUACAAGACAUAUAUACACAUACAUUCAUCAAUUAUUACAAGUUUUAUGAUUUGGUUGAUUAUGUUAGAUUACAAGAAUAGCCUCAGGGACAGGGGAUCCGUAUAACGGCUGGAGGGAUGAAUAAUAACUUCUAUGGGGUCUUGGACAAAACAAAUCAUUUUAAAGCGAAAGGAAAAGGGAAAACGUAAAGAGGGCAGAGCCCUUCUCCUUCUCCUUCUUCCUCUUCAAGAAGGAGCCGCAGCCAAAGGUCUUUUCAAGGAUUCUUUUCCAUGCCCAGUUGAUAAAGGAAGCGACUUUAUUUUAACCAACGAGAUUUAUCAAUCAGGGUUGGUUAAGUUUGUCAAAGGAUCAUUGAUUACCCUCUGAAAAUCUCGAGCUUUCCAGAUCUAUAGGAGCUCCUGGGUUUGUAAAAUCGCUUACUG